GUCUAUUUAGAGACAAAGGGACAAAUUGGAAUAAUACAUAGAAUGUCAUGUCCCUUGCCCAAGGAUGACAAUCACAAAUCAAGAAUAACUUUUCAAAUUA
This 100-nucleotide small nuclear RNA is filed under the name Marchantia polymorpha subsp. ruderalis. Lineage: Eukaryota; Viridiplantae; Streptophyta; Marchantiopsida; Marchantiales; Marchantiaceae. The record is from RNAcentral.